GGAAAAUGUACAAGUUCUAACAAGUUUUGCAAUCCUUGCAAAGUAGCUUGGGCCUUGCAAAACCAUUGGUUAUAGAGAUGAGCAAAGCCCUAAUACUGUGAAGUUCCUACAGGGAAACGUGGCCAGAGGAUUAGGCGCUAAUCUCUGACCUGAGAAGAUGUGAUGAAUGUCUACACUGUCGAUGGUACUGCAGCAGAGAUAGCUGAGCUCGUUAUGACUAGUUUUUGGCGGAAUAACCUAGUUCUGCACUUAGGGGUAUGGGAAGCUAAUUUCCAUUCCACCAGUGGAGUAAAUUAACCCAUGCAGAGAUCAACGCUAGAGAGUCAAGAAAGCAGAAAAUGGUAGCCUACACUGUAGCUGUACACCCUGUUUCCUCAUGUCCAAAUUUCUUAGAUGGCCACAAUCAAAUUGUUUGUCCUCUUGGCAUGUACACUUAUAAGGAAAAACAAAGUAUCGUGCCUAUUUUGCGUGCUUACCCUGAAGAGCAGUGCAUGUUGAUCUACAAAAUGCUCAGAUAUGGAAGGAUGUUACAUAGGUUGCUUAGAAAGAUGAAGGGAUUGAUUUUGUUAUUCCUUCAUCUUCCUCACAGCUAUAAACAACAGCUCUUUCUGCCCGGGAAUGGACUCAUAAGGCCCAGUUGGGAGAAUGACAGCUCUGCCCUGCUGGGAGCUGAGUGCCUGGCUGGACAGAAAGUGGAGGACGAGUGCUUCCUGUCUUCCCCAGAUCAUCUCCUUAAGCGCUCCAAAAAUAGAGAAUACAAAUGCACUACAAAGUAAAAAAAGAAAUCACUUGUAAAAGUGGCUUCCAUCUUGGUAGAAUGUUUACCAGCAACAGCAGAAAAUUCAUAAUUAUGUCAUUAACUAUUCUGCCUGUCAAGUGGGCCUGGUUUCAGCUAAUACUAGCCAUGGAAAGCUCUAAUAUGUAAAUGAACUGACGGAAAGGCGUUCAGAAUUUAACACUAGGUGCUGAUUUCAAUACUGAUAAAUUGCUUUGAUCCAUUGACUCAUGCCUUGUUGUCCUUCCAAAUGAAUGCAAGUACCUUCUGGAAGUGAGUCAACCCUGCAGAUGGGGGCCAGCCUGGCCGAGCUCCUGUCCGUGCAGUAUGUAGAGACAUGUGCUUGGCUCCUGUGCCCCAGUGCUCUGCAGCUGACGUAUUUAGCCUCGUCACUGUGAGGUAGGGAAAUGCUCUUGGCUCUAUUUUGUAGCAACAGAGUUGAGGCUUACACAGUCUGAAAUUUUCAAAUGUGUUUAAAAAGUGAAAAGUUUAAAUCAGUGGGAGCUGAGAUACCCAAACCCAGCGUAGACACCCUGCUUUUGUUGAUUUCUGGGGGAAUUAGGUGAUUUGCCCAAGUUCGUGGAAGAAAAUGGGGACAGUGAACAGAGUUAAUCCCAGAUGUGUGUCCUGGGCAGCAACGCUUUUUGCUUUUGAUGAACUUGAGUUUUCUGUUAUCAUUAGUUAUUUUAGAAGUUCUAGCCUUAAGUUCUAAUGGGAAUCUAUUUAUACUAUUGAGUUUAUGCUUGCAGCACAAGAAUUUAGUGCAUUUGCAAUGAGUUCAAUGUAGAAGUUAGUAUUUCUGAAGUUCCUGAUAAAGGAAAAAGAACGUUGAACAAAGUGUAAAAGCCUCUAAUAUUCACCUCACAUAUGAAAAUCGGCUCCUCCUCAGAACUCAGCUGCUCUUUCACUUGGGCUCUUAUGGGUGAGUGGGAACAAGACCAAGGGUGAUUGUUUGCACAGCAAAACCAGGGUUAUUUUUAGCAAGUAAGGAUCCACUUCUG
Anser brachyrhynchus (Pink-footed goose) is the source of this 1776-nucleotide long non-coding RNA. Lineage: Eukaryota; Metazoa; Chordata; Aves; Anseriformes; Anatidae. The record is from Ensembl.